UACGGAAGGCAGCAGUGGGGAAUAUUGCACAAUGGGCGAAAGCCUGAUGCAGCUAUGCCGCGUGUAUGAAGAAGGCCUUAGGGUUGUAAAGUACUUUCAUCGGGGAGGAAAAACAAAACUAAUAAUUUUAUUUCUUGACGUUACCCGAAAAAGAAGCACCGGCUAACUCCGUGCCAGCAGCCGCGGUAAUACGGAGGGUGCUAGCGUUAAUCAGAAUUACUGGGCGUAAAGAGCACGUAGGUGGUUUUUUUAAGUCAGAUGUGAAAUCCCUGGGCUUAACCUAGGAACUGCAUUUUGAAACUGAAAUACUAGAGUAUCGUAGAGGGAGGUAGAAUUCUAGGUGUAGCGGUGAAAUGCGUAGAUAUCUGGAGGAAUACCUGUGGCGAAAGCGGCCUCCUAAACGAAUACUGACACUGAGGUGCGAAAGCGUGGGGAGCAAAACAGGAUUAGAUACC
RNAcentral lists this ribosomal RNA (455 nucleotides) under uncultured bacterium. RNAcentral describes it as "bacterial SSU rRNA". It matches the Rfam family "Bacterial small subunit ribosomal RNA", at positions 340 to 786 of the family's 1533-position model. The record is from RNAcentral.